RNAcentral lists this ribosomal RNA (497 nucleotides) under uncultured bacterium. Its description in RNAcentral is "partial 16S ribosomal RNA". It matches the Rfam family "Bacterial small subunit ribosomal RNA", at positions 28 to 507 of the family's 1533-position model. The record is from RNAcentral.
GAUGAACGCUGGCGGCGUGCCUAAUACAUGCAAGUCGAGCGAACGGACGAGAAGCUUGCUUUUCUGAUGUUAGCGGCGGACGGGUGAGUAACACGUGGAUAACCUACCUAUAAGACUGGGAUAACUUCGGGAAACCGGAGCUAAUACCGGAUAAUAUUUUGAACCGCAUAGUUCAUAAGUGAAAGACGGUCUUGCUGUCACUUAUAGAUGGAUCCGCGCUGCAUUAGCUAGUUGGUAAGGUAACGGCUUACCAAGGCAACGAUGCAUAGCCGACCUGAGAGGGUGAUCGGCCACACUGGAACUGAGACACGGUCCAGACUCCUACGGGAGGCAGCAGUAGGGAAUCUUCCGCAAUGGGCGAAAGCCUGACGGAGCAACGCCGCGUGAGUGAUGAAGGUCUUCGGAUCGUAAAACUCUGUUAUUAGGGAAGAACAUAUGUGUAAGUAACUGUGCACAUCUUGACGGUACCUAAUCAGAAAGCCACGGCUAACUACGUG